Non-coding RNA from Ictidomys tridecemlineatus (thirteen-lined ground squirrel), 73 nucleotides. NCBI's taxonomy places the organism in Eukaryota, Metazoa, Chordata, Mammalia, Rodentia, Sciuridae. The record is from Rfam.
UUCUCUUGUCCUUCAUUCCACCGGAGUCUGUCUCAUGCCAACCAGAUUUCAGUGGAGUGAAGCUCAGGAGGCA